Folsomia candida is the source of this 1278-nucleotide long non-coding RNA. RefSeq lists it as uncharacterized. Lineage: Eukaryota; Metazoa; Arthropoda; Collembola; Entomobryomorpha; Isotomidae. The record is from RefSeq and is a predicted model, not a curated record. The transcript has 3 exons.
UUAAGCAUAUCGAAGCAGUACUAUCAGUACAAAUUCUAGCAUGUUUGAACAUUUACUUGAUUUUUUGUAAAUUGCCUCGAUUGAAAUUAGCAUGGCUUCUUAAAUACUUAACCGUAUGCAUGCAUAUUGUGCAUACGUCACCAUGUAUGCAAGUACCUACAACGAGAAAUGUUAAAUAAAUAGAAAUUCCGAUAUCCAAUUCCUUAAACAAUAAUUUGAUCAUCAAUAGCACGGGUUGUAGUCAUGCUAUGAAAAUCGUGCAUUUUAUUUUCUCCAUUGCUCAAUUUUAUUCGUUUUGUUUGUCUUUAUUAAAGGUGUCAGAUGAACACAGGUGCUGUGCUGGUAUUUAUUCAUUUUCAUAUUUAUGCAGCGGUUUUGCAUUCAAUUGUUGUCUUACUUGCUUAUGCAUUAGAUAAUAGAAGUAUUUUUGUAAAAAUAAACGACGAGACAGUUUUUCUGGCGACCUGCAGUUGUUUAUAAUUAAUAUAUUUUCAAUCAGUUCAAUUUAUGUAACUUGAGGCAUUAUUAUUCCUUCAUUUAUCAGGUUUUAAAAGCUAUUGCAGGUUGACGACAACAGCUUGAUAAGUAGGACAUGAGGACGGAAUUUGAUCCAUAAGCCAGAAAAGUGACGGGCAGGCUGCUGCAUGUUUUCUCAAAGUCCAGAUAUUCACACGAUUCGGCCAAGAAAAAUGAACUGACUUAUUAUUGACUGAAAUGUAGUAGCAUGAAUUACGGUUGUGGACACUCAUGAGAAUGAGAUUAAUUUGAUGAUGCCUAAUGAUUAGAGUUAGACCGGGUCAACCGUUCACCUUAACCUCUCCAGGGAAAUGACAUGGCUGUCUGAAUAGUGAUUGCUUAUCGUAUUUCUCAGAUUCCUACUCGCCAUUGUUCCACCAGGCAAGUUGGACCAGAGAAAAUCACUGUAUUAGCCCUCGCAGUCCUCGAAUCGCUCAUAAAUAUCAUUUGAUACUCUAUUUAACAGUGAUUGAAUGGUCCACUUAAAAUUUUAUGUCUGUUUGAUAUGCUAAUUCACAGCAAUACGUGCAAAUGAAUAUGUGUCCUCUUUUCUCGAGUUUCACUGAAAGAUGGCUGAAUGGAUUAUUGUCCGAAGAAGAAACCUUAUAUUAUAAUUUGACGUCAAAAACAACAUGUCAUCGGAACUCGUGGAUGCAAAAAUAUCCGUGUGAAAUAAAAUCAACUUGAAAUUAUUACUCAUUUGUGCGUAUAAAAAUCUCAAAAUUUAAAACUGAUUUGAUUUUGUGAACCUACGGUUGAUGA